RNAcentral lists this unclassified non-coding RNA (311 nucleotides) under Hevea brasiliensis (rubber tree). The record is from RNAcentral. Lineage: Eukaryota; Viridiplantae; Streptophyta; Magnoliopsida; Malpighiales; Euphorbiaceae.
AAUUUCCCGAGGCAAAGAUUACGUCAUUUCUAGUCCUAGAGGAGGCACCCCCAAUACUACUUAUUGCUAUUGGCCUAGAUAAUGGUUGCAUAUACUGCAUCAAAGGGGACAUUGCGCGUGAACGUAUCAAUCGUUUCAAGCUUCAAGUAGAUAUCUCAGACAAGAACCAAACAUCUAUCACGGGGCUAGGGUUCAGAGUUGAUGGUCAAGCUCUUCAGUUAUUUUCUGUAACUCCUGAUUCAGUGAGUUUAUUCAGCCUGCAGAGUCAGCCACCAAAGGGGCAAACUCUGGAUCAGAUUGGAUGUGGUGUG